UACGUAGGGGGCAAGCGUUGUCCGGAAUCAUUGGGCGUAAAGAGCGCGUAGGCGGCCUUGUAAGUCCGCUGUGAAAGUCAAGGGCUCAACCCUUGGAUGCCGGUGGAUACUGCAGGGCUAGAGUCCGGAAGAGGCGAGUGGAAUUCCUGGUGUAGCGGUGAAAUGCGCAGAUAUCAGGAGGAACACCGAUGGCGAAGGCAGCUCGCUGGGACGGUACUGACGCUGAGGCGCGAAAGCGUGGGGAGCAAACAGG
This 253-nucleotide ribosomal RNA is filed under the name uncultured bacterium. RNAcentral's name for it is "partial 16S ribosomal RNA". It matches the Rfam family "Bacterial small subunit ribosomal RNA", at positions 524 to 776 of the family's 1533-position model. The record is from RNAcentral.